CCAUACAGCUUGGAGUACAAGGAUUGUGUGGCUUAAGGUUACAGCGUUGGUCUUUCAGUCUAUCGACCAGUUCAUCCGCUGGCGGCAUCCGGUGGUCUUGGUGGAGGCUGACGACGGGAUGGAUUUCCCAUUCUGCGAGUUGAUCAGUGAGUCCAUCGUUGAUUGGAAGUGUGGAAAGUCUCUCAACAAACAGAGGAGCAAAUAUGCCUCAUCACAGCAUUAUGAGAAGAUGGUUUUUGGCGAAAAAUUCGUGCAUUCCUUUCACUGCAUACAUGGCAGACUGUAGAAGAAAGAGCAAUUUUGCACAUUUUACACCAUGGUAAGUGACCCUUCCAAUGCUCGACACAUGGUCCGAAUGAAGCUCCAAAUGGAGAAGAACAAGCAUGAAUGGCUCUCUGCUAUGGAUUUUGAAUAUUGAGAAAAGAAGUGCUGCCUUUGUCCACCGUUGGAAGCUUUGAUUGAAAUCACCAUUGGAAGCCAUCCAAAGUGAGAGAUAUUGUCUUGGGAUCUCUUUGGACUUCCUGAUCAGGUUGAACCAGAGGAUAUUUGGGAAUUGACCAAGGAUAUGGGAGAUAGUGUGUUUGAAUGAGUAAUUCCCAGAGGGAGAGGCAAGUCAUUGGAAUGUGUCACUGUUCGUGGUUGUGGUGGUGGAAGGUGGAGAAGCUCGGGGAAAACAAGAGUAAUGGAAUGUGGAAAGGACCAGGCACCUCCAUGAAUGAAGUGGCUGACCUUGGUUUCGACCCUUGCUUGUCUAGCAUGCUUUGCUUUGCUACUUGGAGAAAAAUACAUCCCAUGGUGACUUAACUGUUGCAGAAUCUUCCUCCAACUCCAUGAGCAAGACUACAGAAUCUUCAAUUCCGAAAGUUAAGAGUCUUUAAUCAGUGGUACAAGUUAAUGACGCUCCCAGAAAACCACGGAUUCUACUUGCUGCCAGUGUAAGUGUAGCAGCAAUAAAGUUUGGAAACAUUUUUCUGAUUGGGCAGAAGUAAGAGCAGUUGCAACGAAGGCUUCUUUACAUUUCAUUGACAGAGCAUCACUUCCUAAGGAUGUAAUUCUUUACACGGAUGAGGAUGAAUGGUCCACUUGGUCGAAGAUAGGUGAUAGCCUCCUUCAUAUUGAGCUCCACAGUUGGGCUGAUAUCAUGGUUAUUGCCCCAGGCAAGAUCUGCAGAUUUAUGGAGAAAACCACGAGGCCCAACUGGAUAUUUAAGAAACACAAGGUUGAUAAAGAAGGGCUCUGUUUGAAGGAUAAAAUUAGUGGUCUUCCUGAUGAAGUCCUUGUUUCAAUAUUGUCACUAUGGACAAUGAAAGAAGCUGCAAGAACUAGUCUGCUAUCAAAGAGAUGGAGGUAUAUGUGGACUUACAUUAAAGGUUUGAACUUUGAUGCUUUACAUAUUAUAUAUGAAGUGCUACGGGGAGAUAAGGAACUUGAAGUAGAAAGGUCUUUGUAUUUGAGUUGAGUAAAUCAAGUCUUGAAACUGUACAAUGGUCCAACUAUAGAUGAAUUCAGAGUUCAAUUUGAUUUUGAUGAAAGUUGUAAAUUUGAUAUUGAAAAUUGGGUUAA
Molecule: RNA transcript, 1563 nt
Organism: Cornus florida
Lineage: Eukaryota; Viridiplantae; Streptophyta; Magnoliopsida; Cornales; Cornaceae
Gene name: putative F-box/FBD/LRR-repeat protein At5g52460
Exons: 5
Source: RefSeq, a predicted model, not a curated record